RNAcentral lists this long non-coding RNA (957 nucleotides) under Homo sapiens (human). RNAcentral describes it as "non-protein coding lnc-IGFBP3-4:3". Lineage: Eukaryota; Metazoa; Chordata; Mammalia; Primates; Hominidae. The record is from RNAcentral.
GGGUCUUCCAGGAUCGCGCAUUAGCGGACGCUGGCUACGGGUGGCCGGGCGGGAUGUAACCGGCUGCUGAGCUGGCAGUUCUGUGUCCCCAGGCUUCGGCCCGGCCGCCGCCGCACAUAAACUGCGAGGAGGAGCUUUACGACUUCUCGGUCUUCGGGGCCGGGCGCAGCAAGGGCCAGACUCUGCGCUAGCAGGCGCUGCGCGCCAACCGGCCGGCCCCUGUCGCAGAAGGUGCAACCGAUCGCACUGUCGCGCAGAAGCUCCUCAAUGGCCAGCGCCAGCUGCAGCCCCGGCUGCCCACUCGCCUCACCUGAGCCUGGGUAUUCUCCAGAGUAUCCAGGUCCUUCUCAGAGAAUUAAAAAGACUGUACAGGUGGAACAAUCCAAAGUUUUAAUCAAAGAAGGUGGUAUUCAGUUGCUGCUUACAAUAGUUGAUACCCCAGGAUUUGGAGAUGCAGUGGAUAAUAGUAAUUGAGCUGGCAGCCUGUUAUCAAUUACAUUGAUAGUAAAUUUGAGGACUACCUAAAUGCAGAAUCGCAAGUGAACAGAUGUCAGAUGCCUGGUAACAGGGUGCACUGUUGUUUAUACUUCAUUGCUCCUUCAGGACAUGGAGACCGUUACAUAACUGAAGACUCCCACCUUCAGGCAGGAUUGGGUAGUACAUGUUUGUAACUACCUGGCAUUGCCUUUUGUUGAGAGACUUAAACCAUUGGAUAUUGAGUUUACAAAGCAUUUGCAUGAAAAAGUGAAUAUCAUCCCACUUAUUGCCAAAGCAGACACACUCAUGCCAGAGGAAUGCCAACAGUUUAAAAAACAGAUAAAGAAAUCCAAGAACAUAAAGUUAAAAUAUAUGAAUUUCCAGAAACAGAUGAUGAAGAAGAAAAAAAACUUGUUAAAAAGAUAAAGGACCAUUUACCUCUUGCUGUGGUGGGUAGUAAUACUAUCAUUGAAGUUAAUG